UACGUAGGUGGCAAGCGUUGUCCGGAUUUACUGGGCGUAAAGGGAGCGUAGGCGGAUACUUAAGUGGGAUGUGAAAUACCUGGGCUUAACUUGGGUGCUGCAUUCCAAACUGGGUGUCUAGAGUGUUGGAGAGGAAAGUGGAAUUCCUAGUGUAGCGGUGAAAUGCGUAGAGAUUAGGAAGAACACCAGUGGCGAAGGCGACUUUCUGGACAAUAACUGACGCCGAGGCUCGAAAGCGUGGGGAGCAAACAGGAUUAGAUACCCUGGUAGUCCACGCCGUAAACGAUGGGUACUAGGUGUAGGGGGUAUCGACUCCCCCUGUGCCGCCGUUAACACAAUAAGUACCCCGCCUGGGGAGUACGGUCGCAAGAUUAAA
This 376-nucleotide ribosomal RNA is filed under the name uncultured bacterium. RNAcentral describes it as "bacterial SSU rRNA". It matches the Rfam family "Bacterial small subunit ribosomal RNA", at positions 524 to 898 of the family's 1533-position model. The record is from RNAcentral.